GCCCGCCUGGCUCAAUCGGAUAGAGCGUCAGACUCUUAUACAUGCUUUCGUGUUUUAAGAAUGAUCUGAAGGCUGCGAGUUCGACCCUCGCGGUGGGUU
This 99-nucleotide transfer RNA is filed under the name Hypsizygus marmoreus. It matches the Rfam family "tRNA". From Rfam's summary of the family: Transfer RNA (tRNA) molecules are approximately 80 nucleotides in length. Lineage: Eukaryota; Fungi; Basidiomycota; Agaricomycetes; Agaricales; Lyophyllaceae. The record is from Rfam by way of RNAcentral.